AUUGAACGCUGGCGGCAUGCUUUACACAUGCAAGUCGAACGGUAACAGGCCGCAAGGUGCUGACGAGUGGCGAACGGGUGAGUAAUGCAUCGGAACGUGCCCAGUCGUGGGGGAUAACUAUCCGAAAGGAUAGCUAAUACCGCAUACGAUCUGCGGAUGAAAGCGGGGGACCUUCGGGCCUCGCGCGAUUGGAGCGGCCGAUGUCAGAUUAGGUAGUUGGUGGAGUAAAGGCUCACCAAGCCAACGAUCGGUAGCUGGUCUGAGAGGACGACCAGCCACACUGGGACUGAGACACGGCCCAGACUCCUACGGGAGGCAGCAGUGGGGAAUUUUGGACAAUGGGCGCAAGCCUGAUUCAGCAAUGCCGCGUGCAGGAAGAAGGCCUUCGGGUUGUAAACUGCUUUUGUACGGAACGAAACGGCUCUGGUUAAUACCUGGGGCUAAUGACGGUACCGUAAGAAUAAGCACCGGCUAACUACGUGCCAGCCGCCGCCGUAA
This 498-nucleotide ribosomal RNA is filed under the name uncultured bacterium. RNAcentral describes it as "partial 16S ribosomal RNA". It matches the Rfam family "Bacterial small subunit ribosomal RNA", at positions 30 to 523 of the family's 1533-position model. The record is from RNAcentral.